This 229-nucleotide ribosomal RNA is filed under the name uncultured bacterium. RNAcentral describes it as "partial 16S ribosomal RNA". It matches the Rfam family "Bacterial small subunit ribosomal RNA", at positions 568 to 796 of the family's 1533-position model. The record is from RNAcentral.
CGCGUAGGCGGUCUCUAAAGUCAGAUGUGAAAGCCCGGGGCUUAACCCCGGAAGUGCAUUUGAAACUCAGGGACUUGAGUAUGGGAGAGGGAAGUGGAAUUCCUGGUGUAGCGGUGAAAUGCGUAGAUAUCAGGAGGAACACCAGUGGCGAAGGCGACUUCCUGGACCAAUACUGACGCUGAGGCACGAAAGCGUGGGGAGCAAACAGGAUUAGAUACCCUGGUAGUCC